This 975-nucleotide ribosomal RNA is filed under the name Triticum aestivum (bread wheat). Its description in RNAcentral is "partial small subunit ribosomal RNA". Lineage: Eukaryota; Viridiplantae; Streptophyta; Magnoliopsida; Poales; Poaceae. The record is from RNAcentral.
AUGGAGUCGUCGUCGGUGGCGAGCAGGCGGUGGAGCUGCAGGCUGGAGCUGAUGGCCAGCGCCUCGCCGGUCUUCACGCGGAGGGACUCAACGUCCAGCGCGUCCAGGCGGGACACCACGGGGUUGAACUGGAACGGCACGUCCAGCCGCUCCGCCUCCUUGGUGAGCGCCAUGGCCGUCUGCGAGAGCAGGUCCUUGUGCUCGUGCACGGCGGUGAGGCGGAAGUGCGGCGGGCCCUCGGGGCGCGCGGCGAGGAGGUGGAGCAGCUCGAGCCACUGCGUGGCGUCGGCGCCGCCGAGGUCGAUGACGUGCACGAUCUUCUCCGACUCCAUGGCCUCGAGGAUCGCCUGGUUGGCCGCCGCGCCGGCGAGGCGGAGGAAGGGGCAGAGGUCCAAGAAGUGUCGGCGCGCGACGGCGACCUCGGCGGGCGUGGGGCCCGCGCGGGGCAGGAGCAGCGCGCGGCACAGCCCGGGCCACGCACGGAGCGCGCGCCGGGCCAGCGCCUCCGCGAAGGCCGCGGCGACGCGCUGCAUGGCGUCCCCGUCGGGCGCCGCGAGCGUGGCGAUGUGCUCGAGCGCGGCGUUGGCGGCGUCGAGCCGGCCGGCCGAGGCCGCGGCGGCGCAGUUGAGCAGGAGGUGGAUGAGGCAGAGGCCGCGCUCGUCGGAGCGGAGCUCCCGGAGCAUCCAGGGCGGCGUGGCGCCUGCGCCGGCGCCGUUCGCGCCAGGGUGCGGGUGGAGCGGCAUGUUGGAGAAGUUGUGCAGCGGGGAGGAGGUGACCGACGAGGAGGAGCCUUCGUCCUGGUGGACCAUCAGCCUCGCCAGCGCUGCCGCCCGCUCUGCUCGGCGAUCCCGCUCGGCUCACGAAGCUACUAGCAAACUUGCUUCCUUUCCGUGUCUAUCUAUCUAUCUAUCUAUCUCUCCGAUGCCGGCCGUGGCGUGGUGGAUGACGGAGGAUUUAUACGGCGGCCGUCUCUGA